UGCCAGCCGCCGCGGUAAUACGGAGGGUGCAAGCGUUAAUCGGAAUUACUGGGCGUAAAGCGUGCGUAGGCGGUUUUGUCAGUCAGAUGUGAAAGCCCAGGGCUUAACCUUGGAACUGCAUUUGAUACCGCAAGACUAGAGAUCGGUAGAGGACAGUGGAAUUUCCGGUGUAGCGGUGAAAUGCAUAGAGAUCGGAAGGAACACCAAUGGCGAAGGCAGCUGUCUGGGCCUGAUCUGACGCUGAGGUACGAAAGCGUGGGUAGCGAAAAGGAUUAGAUA
This 279-nucleotide ribosomal RNA is filed under the name uncultured bacterium. RNAcentral's name for it is "partial 16S ribosomal RNA". It matches the Rfam family "Bacterial small subunit ribosomal RNA", at positions 506 to 784 of the family's 1533-position model. The record is from RNAcentral.